AACGAACGCUGGCGGCAUGCCUAACACAUGCAAGUCGAACGAGACCUUCGGGUCUAGUGGCGCACGGGUGCGUAACGCGUGGGAACCUGCCCUUAGGUUCGGAAUAACUCCCCGAAAGGGGUGCUAAUACCGGAUAAUGUCUUCGGACCAAAGAUUUAUCGCCUUUGGAUGGGCCCGCGUUGGAUUAGCUAGUUGGUAGGGUAAAAGCCUACCAAGGCGACGAUCCAGAGCUGGUCUGAGAGGAUGAUCAGCCACACUGGACUGAGACACGGCCCAGACUCCGACGGGAGGCAGCAGUGGGGAAUAUUGGACGAUGGGCGAAAGCCUGAUAAAGCAAUGCCGCGUGAGUGAUGAAGGCCUUAGGGUUGUAAAGCUCUUUUACCCGGGAUGAUAAUGACAGUACCGGGAGAAUAAGCUCCGGCUAACUACGUG
Molecule: ribosomal RNA, 432 nt
Filed under: uncultured bacterium
Lineage: Bacteria
Description: partial 16S ribosomal RNA
Rfam family: Bacterial small subunit ribosomal RNA
Source: RNAcentral